GGACCCGCACAAGCAGCGGAGCAUGUGGUUUAAUUCGAAGCAACGCGAAGAACCUUACCAGAGCUUGACAUCCCCCUGACCGGCCGGUAAUGCGGCCUUUCCUUCGGGACAGGGGAGGACAGGUGGUGCAUGGUUGUCGUCAGCUCGUGUCGUGAGAUGUUGGGUUAAGUCCCGCAACGAGCGCAACCCUUGUCGGUAGUUGCCAGCAGCUAGGCUGGGCACUCUACCGAGACUGCCGGGGAUAACUCGGAGGAAGGUGGGGAUGACGUCAAAUCAUCAUGCCCCUUAUGCCCUGGGCUACACACGUGCUACAAUGGCCGGUACAGAGAGAAGCAAGGUCGCGAGGCGGAGCAAAUCUCAAAAACCGGUCCCAGUUCGGAUCGCAGGCUGAAACCCGCCUGCGUGGAAGUUGGAGUUGCUAGUAAUCGCGAAUCAGAAUGUCG
RNAcentral lists this ribosomal RNA (443 nucleotides) under uncultured Bacillota bacterium. Its description in RNAcentral is "bacterial SSU rRNA". It matches the Rfam family "Bacterial small subunit ribosomal RNA", at positions 917 to 1359 of the family's 1533-position model. The record is from RNAcentral. Lineage: Bacteria; Bacillati; Bacillota.